UGGGGAAUUUUGGACAAUGGGGGAAACCCUGAUCCAGCCAUCCCGCGUGUGCGAUGAAGGCCUUCGGGUUGUAAAGCACUUUUGGCAGGAAAGAAACGUCAUGGGUUAAUACCCCGUGAAACUGACGGUACCUGCAGAAUAAGCACCGGCUAACUACGUGCCAGCAGCCGCGGUAAUACGUAGGGUGCAAGCGUUAAUCGGAAUUACUGGGCGUAAAGCGUGCGCAGGCGGUUCGGAAAGAAAGAUGUGAAAUCCCAGAGCUCAACUUUGGAACUGCAGUUUUAACUACCGUGCUAGAGUGUGUCAGAGGGAGGUGGAAUUCCGCGUGUAGCAGUGAAAUGCGUAGAUAUGCGGAGGAACACCGAUGGCGAAGGCAGCCUCCUGGGAUAACACUGACGCUCAUGCACGAAAGCGUGGGGAGCAAACAGG
This 429-nucleotide ribosomal RNA is filed under the name Acidobacteriota bacterium. RNAcentral describes it as "Acidobacteria bacterium partial 16S ribosomal RNA". It matches the Rfam family "Bacterial small subunit ribosomal RNA", at positions 355 to 776 of the family's 1533-position model. Lineage: Bacteria; Pseudomonadati; Acidobacteriota. The record is from RNAcentral.